Molecule: ribosomal RNA, 902 nt
Filed under: Cornibusella ungulata
Lineage: Eukaryota; Fungi; Ascomycota; Leotiomycetes; Phacidiales; Phacidiaceae
Description: eukaryotic LSU rRNA
Rfam family: Eukaryotic large subunit ribosomal RNA
Source: RNAcentral
UCAAUAAGCGGAGGAAAAGAAACCAACAGGGAUUGCCUCAGUAACGGCGAGUGAAGCGGCAACAGCUCAAAUUUGAAAUCUGGCCCUUUCAGGGUCCGAGUUGUAAUUUGUAGAGGAUGUUUCGGGUGUGGCUCCGGUCUAAGUUCCUUGGAACAGGACGUCAUAGAGGGUGAGAAUCCCGUAUGUGACUGGUAGCCUACGCUCAUGUGAAACUCCUUCGACGAGUCGAGUUGUUUGGGAAUGCAGCUCAAAAUGGGUGGUAAAUUUCAUCUAAAGCUAAAUAUUGGCCAGAGACCGAUAGCGCACAAGUAGAGUGAUCGAAAGAUGAAAAGCACUUUGGAAAGAGAGUUAAACAGUACGUGAAAUUGUUGAAAGGGAAGCGCUUGCAACCAGACUUGCAUGUAGCCGAUCAACCGGUGUUCUCACCGGUGCACUCGGUUACGUUCAGGCCAGCAUCGGUUUCGACGGUUGGAUAAAGGCCUUGGGAAUGUAGCUCCUCUCGGGGAGUGUUAUAGCCCAGGGUGCAAUGCAGCCUGUUGGGACCGAGGACCGCGCUUCGGCUAGGAUGCUGGCGUAAUGGUUGUAAGCGACCCGUCUUGAAACACGGACCAAGGAGUCUAACAUCUAUGCGAGUGUUUGGGUGUCAAACCCAUACGCGUAAUGAAAGUGAACGGAGGUGAGAACCCUUAAGGGUGCAUCAUCGACCGAUCCUGAUGUCUUCGGAUGGAUUUGAGUAAGAGCAUAGCUGUUGGGACCCGAAAGAUGGUGAACUAUGCCUGAAUAGGGUGAAGCCAGAGGAAACUCUGGUGGAGGCUCGCAGCGGUUCUGACGUGCAAAUCGAUCGUCAAAUUUGGGUAUAGGGGCGAAAGACUAAUCGAACCAUCUAGUAGCUGGUUCCUGCC